GUACACUCCUACGGGAGGCAGCAGUGGGGAAUAUCGCACAAUGGGCGCAAGCCUGAUGCAGCCAUGCCGCGUGUAUGAAGAAGGCCUUCGGGUUGUAAAGUACUUUCAGCGGGGAGGAAGGCGAUAAGGUUAAUAACCUUGUCGAUUGACGUUACCCGCAGAAGAAGCACCGGCUAACUCCGUGCCAGCAGCCGCGGUAAUACGGAGGGUGCAAGCGUUAAUCGGAAUUACUGGGCGUAAAGCGCACGCAGGCGGUCUGUCAAGUCGGAUGUGAAAUCCCCGGGCUCAACCUGGGAACUGCAUUCGAAACUGGCAGGCUAGAGUCUUGUAGAGGGGGGUAGAAUUCCAGGUGUAGCGGUGAAAUGCGUAGAGAUCUGGAGGAAUACCGGUGGCGAAGGCGGCCCCCUGGACAAAGACUGACGCUCAGGUGCGAAAGCGUGGGGAGCAAACAGGAUUAGAUACCCGGGUAGUCCCAUG
RNAcentral lists this ribosomal RNA (477 nucleotides) under uncultured organism. Its description in RNAcentral is "partial 16S ribosomal RNA". It matches the Rfam family "Bacterial small subunit ribosomal RNA", at positions 331 to 799 of the family's 1533-position model. The record is from RNAcentral.